This 301-nucleotide ribosomal RNA is filed under the name uncultured bacterium. RNAcentral describes it as "partial 16S ribosomal RNA". It matches the Rfam family "Bacterial small subunit ribosomal RNA", at positions 509 to 807 of the family's 1533-position model. The record is from RNAcentral.
CAGUCGCCGCGGGAAUACGGAGGGUGCAAGCGUUAAUCGGAAUUACUGGGCGUAAAGCGCACGCAGGCGGUCUGUCAAGUCGGAUGUGAAAUCCCCGGGCUCAACCUGGGAACUGCAUUCGAAACUGGCAGGCUAGAGUCUUGUAGAGGGGGGUAGAAUUCCAGGUGUAGCGGUGAAAUGCGUAGAGAUCUGGAGGAAUACCGGUGGCGAAGGCGGCCCCCUGGACAAAGACUGACGCUCAGGUGCGAAAGCGUGGGGAGCAAACAGGAUUAGAUACCCCGGUAGUCCCUGUCUCUUAUAC